GAUGACUCUCGGCAACGGAUAUCUUGGCUCUUGCAUCGAUGAAGAACGCAGCGAAAUGCGAUAAGUGGUGUGAAUUGCAGAAUCCCGUGAACCAUCGAGUCUUUGAACGCAAGUUGCGCCCAAGGCCAUCAGGCUAAGGGCACGCCUGCCUGGGCGUCGUGU
RNAcentral lists this ribosomal RNA (162 nucleotides) under Cypripedium passerinum. RNAcentral's name for it is "5.8S ribosomal RNA subunit". It matches the Rfam family "5.8S ribosomal RNA". From Rfam's summary of the family: 5.8S ribosomal RNA (5.8S rRNA) is a component of the large subunit of the eukaryotic ribosome. Lineage: Eukaryota; Viridiplantae; Streptophyta; Magnoliopsida; Asparagales; Orchidaceae. The record is from RNAcentral.